UCAUAUUCAAUCGUAGCAAAUCUAUCUUCGUCUCGUUCUCUGAAUGUCAAUCUCGAUCCUCUUAUGUGUAGUCUCAAUCUGUAUCAAUUUCUCGUUCAAUUCAGCAUCUCGUUCGAUUCAGUCUCUAUUGUUUUUUCUUAAUCUCAGUCUAGUACUUCGAUCUCUGUCUCAAUCCUUCAUUGUCACUUUUCAUCGAUCUUCAUCCGUGAAGAGCUUGGUGAAACUUCUGUUGAAGGUUUAUGAGUUUCAUUUUGAUAUAUCAAUUUUAAUGUUUUGGUAAAUAAUUGAUAUCUAAUUGAUCUCUAUGUGACUGUUCUUGACUUCUUGCAACUGAGUUACGCUCAUGAGAAUAACUGAGUUACAUGUUUUGGCAAGAUGUCGCUUGCCUGUGAUCUUGUGGUGUCAUCCAUGAAGUGGAGAUGUGAUUGCCCGCUCAUCACAACCUUUAUUUGGUUUGAUGAUGAACAUGAGGAGCAAAGGAACAAUGAUUGUAGAGUAAUGGGAUUAGUAUUUAGCCAAGUUUUGGCAAGUUGUACUGCCGAGUGAAAAAGACACACCUGAGGCUAACUCCGACCACAUCCUGUAGAUUUUGUAGAAUGGAAGAAAAGUUCAAUCCUUUUUGUAGAGUUUUAGGUCUUCAUUAUUAUUUUUGUUCAGUCUUGAUAAAGUUGUGGAGCUAAAUUAUCAGUGGAUUGCAUUUGAUGAUGUUUGUUACCAUGUUCAGGUGACAGUGAAGAAUCCAAACCUCUUGUUGCUUGUGGUUUCGUUACCAAAUCCACCACCUGAAGCAAUGUCCUUUGAUGGACUUCCAUUAGGAGCUAUAGAAGCCAUUAAAGCUACUUACAAGACUGGUUUUCAAGAGGUUGAAGUAUUGUCUCAUAUCACAUGGAAACCCAAAUGGGGAAUGAUCUUCUCUGAUAUCAAAAAGAAAGUCAGCAGGAACUGCGAGGUCUCUCAGAGAUCCACGAUGGCUAUUACAAUUAGUUUAAGUGUCGAACACUUUGUGUUUUCUUUUAUUACAUGCACUUGACUAUGUUUUCUUAUGUUACUAAUGGCAUAUGUUUUCUCUUGGUAAAAAUA
This is an RNA transcript of Arabidopsis lyrata subsp. lyrata, 1080 nucleotides long. RefSeq lists it as uncharacterized. Lineage: Eukaryota; Viridiplantae; Streptophyta; Magnoliopsida; Brassicales; Brassicaceae. The transcript has 5 exons. The record is from RefSeq and is a predicted model, not a curated record.